RNAcentral lists this ribosomal RNA (692 nucleotides) under Bacillus sp. SP59. Its description in RNAcentral is "bacterial SSU rRNA". It matches the Rfam family "Bacterial small subunit ribosomal RNA", at positions 46 to 720 of the family's 1533-position model. The record is from RNAcentral. Lineage: Bacteria; Bacillati; Bacillota; Bacilli; Caryophanales; Bacillaceae.
GCCUAAUACAUGCAAGUCGAGCGGACUGAUGGGAGCUUGCUCCCUGAAGUCAGCGGCGGACGGGUGAGUAACACGUGGGUAACCUGCCUGUAAGACUGGGAUAACUCCGGGAAACCGGGGCUAAUACCGGAUAGUUCUUUUCCUCGCAUGAGGAAAAGUGGAAAGGCGGCUUCGGCUGCCACUUACAGAUGGACCCGCGGCGCAUUAGCUAGUUGGUGAGGUAACGGCUCACCAAGGCAACGAUGCCUAGCCGACCUGAGAGGGUGAUCGGCCACACUGGGACUGAGACACGGCCCAGACUCCUACGGGAGGCAGCAGUAGGGAAUCUUCCGCAAUGGACGAAAGUCUGACGGAGCAACGCCGCGUGAGUGAUGAAGGUUUUCGGAUCGUAAAGCUCUGUUGUUAGGGAAGAACAAGUGCCGUUCGAAUAGGGCGGCGCCUUGACGGUACCUAACCAGAAAGCCACGGCUAACUACGUGCCAGCAGCCGCGGUAAUACGUAGGUGGCAAGCGUUGUCCGGAAUUAUUGGGCGUAAAGCGCGCGCAGGCGGUCUCUUAAGUCUGAUGUGAAAGCCCACGGCUCAACCGUGGAGGGUCAUUGGAAACUGGGGGACUUGAGUACAGAAGAGGAAAGUGGAAUUCCACGUGUAGCGGUGAAAUGCGUAGAUAUGUGGAGGAACACCAGUGGCGAAG